RNAcentral lists this ribosomal RNA (497 nucleotides) under uncultured bacterium. Its description in RNAcentral is "partial 16S ribosomal RNA". It matches the Rfam family "Bacterial small subunit ribosomal RNA", at positions 28 to 507 of the family's 1533-position model. The record is from RNAcentral.
GAUGAACGCUGGCGGCGUGCCUAAUACAUGCAAGUCGAGCGAACGGACGAGAAGCUUGCUUCUCUGAUGUUAGCGGCGGACGGGUGAGUAACACGUGGAAAACCUACCUAUAAGACUGGGAUAACUUCGGGAAACCGGAGCUAAUACCGGAUGAUAUUUUGAACCGCAUGGUUCAAAAGUGAAAGACGGUCUUGCUGUCACUUAUAGAUGGAUCCGCGCUGCAUUAGCUAGUUGGUAAGGUAACGGCUUACCAAGGCAACGAUGCAUAGCCGACCUGAGAGGGUGAUCGGCCACACUGGAACUGAGACACGGACCAGACUCCUACGGGAGGCAGCAGUAGGGAAUCUUCCGCAAUGGGCGAAAGCCUGACGGAGCAACGCCGCGUGAGUGAUGAAGGUCUUCGGAUCGUAAAACUCUGUUAUUAGGGAAGAACAUAUGUGUAAGUAACUGUGCACAUCUUGACGGUACCUAAUCAGAAAGCCACGGCUAACUACGUG